Molecule: long non-coding RNA, 1688 nt
Organism: Ictalurus punctatus (channel catfish)
Lineage: Eukaryota; Metazoa; Chordata; Actinopteri; Siluriformes; Ictaluridae
Source: Ensembl
CUUGUAUAGAGACAUAGAACCACCCUCUGCUGGUUCCCUCAUCCUUCAAAAGACCUUGCCACUGAUGCAUGUGGUGUGUUUCACUGGCAUAGAAAAUUUGGUGGCUUGGGGAAGAGCUGUGUAGAGUCACAUUUUAUUAUGUAGAGGAUAGAACAAGCGCUGUACUCUCCCACAUCUAGCUUGGAUCAAACUGCAGGUAAGCUCAGUGGUUUUUUAGUUGUGUCCUCCAUUCUGAUGCUGGCAACUAUGACGUGCCCAAAUUUACCAGCAGAUAUGACGGGAUUCUAGGGGUUUAUUGGGUUUCUAUUCCAUUGUUCACUCUUCCCGAUUAUAUGUGGGUACACCACCUCUUAAACAACCAAAAGAUGAUCUCAUGGCUCAUAUGAGGGCUAUACUAUAUGGCCAAAAUUAUGUGGACACCGGCUCAUCACACCCAUACGUAGGUCUUCUUCAAACUGUUGACACAAUGAAUGUCUUUGUAUGCUGUAAUUUUACAAUUUUCCCUUCAAUGGAACUAAAAGACCCUAACCUGUUCCAGCAUGGCAAUGCCCCUGUGCACAAAACGAGCUCCAUGAAGACAUGGUUUGCUAAGGUUGGUGUGGAAGAACUCGAGUGUCCGUCACAGAGCCCUGACAUCAACUGCACUGAACACCUUUGUGAUGUAAUGGAAUGCUGACUGCACCCCAGCCCUCCUCACCAACAUCAGUGCCUGAUCUCACUAAUGCUUUGUAGCUGAAUGCUGAAUGGAGGUUAUUAUAGAAGCAAAGGGGGAGCAAAAUCUGGAAUGGCACAAAAAGCACAUAUGGGUUUGAUGGUCAGGUGUCCACAAACUUUUGGCAUUUAUUAUAAUGAGUGAGUUGCUUUCAGUUCCAGACUCAGUAUCUCCAACUGAUCCUGCCCCAGUUACUGCCCCAGUUACAGCAACAGUUACUGUAACUGAUCUUGCUCCAAUCUAAAUGUCUAACCCUGAUACUGUUCCAGUCACAGAGUCCCCCAUUGCUUCAACCUCAGUCCCAGCCUCUGCAUAUGAUCCUCCUUGGCUUGGUCUAUGCCCUUGAUCCUUCAUAGGUUUAUGCCCUUGUCUCAGUUUCUUCCACUGAUCCUGCUCCAGUCUCAGACUCUGCCCUUAAUUCUGCCCUAGUUCAGUCCCUGCCCAUGAUCCUGCUCCAGGCUCAAUCUCUGCCCCUAAUCCAGCACCAGUCUCACAAUCUGCCACUAAUUCCCCGUCAGUCUCAAUCCCUGCCCAAUCUUGCCUCAGGGUUAGACUCCUGAUCCCACUCCAAUCUCAGUCUCUGACCCUGAUCCUACACCAGUCUCAUUCUUUGCCAUUGAUCCCACUCCAGUCUCUAUCAUGGAUCCCAUCUCAGUCUCACUUUCCUUCACUGAUCCUGCCGAUGACUUGCAUGGUCACUAAUCUUGAAGCUCCCAAGUAUUAUUAUACCUGUUGCAGGUAUUUCAAGCUUAUUUGGAGGACCACUUAACCACCACUUAACCACAAAUUUUCAUGUAGAGAUUUUAGACAAACAUCUUUACCACUUUGUUGUCAGAUAAUAAAUAUUCAGUAUAUUUAAAAAAAAAUCAAGUACAGUCCAUGUACUGAUUCUAGUAUCACUAGGGUCUAAGAAGCACAGGUUUAUAGUGAAUAGUGCCUGCAGAAUAAGCAUGUGUCAGUAUAGAAUGGGUCAUCA